AGUGAACGCUGGCGGUAGGCCUAACACAUGCAAGUCGAACGGCAGCACAGUAAGAGCUUGCUCUUACGGGUGGCGAGUGGCGGACGGGUGAGGAAUACAUCGGAAUCUACUUUUUCGUGGGGGAUAACGUAGGGAAACUUACGCUAAUACCGCAUACGACCUACGGGUGAAAGCAGGGGAUCUUCGGACCUUGCGCGAUUGAAUGAGCCGAUGUCGGAUUAGCUAGUUGGCGGGGUAAAGGCCCACCAAGGCGACGAUCCGUAGCUGGUCUGAGAGGAUGAUCAGCCACACUGGAACUGAGACACGGUCCAGACUCCUGCGGGAGGCAGCAGUGGGGAAUAUUGGACAAUGGGCGCAAGCCUGAUCCAGCCAUACCGCGUGGGUGAAGAAGGCCUUCGGGUUGUAAAGCCCUUUUGUUGGGAAAGAAAAGCAGCAGGUUAAUACCCCGCUGUUCUGACGGUACCCAAAGAAUAAGCACCGGCUAACUUCGUGC
RNAcentral lists this ribosomal RNA (493 nucleotides) under uncultured bacterium. RNAcentral describes it as "partial 16S ribosomal RNA". It matches the Rfam family "Bacterial small subunit ribosomal RNA", at positions 29 to 508 of the family's 1533-position model. The record is from RNAcentral.